This 231-nucleotide ribosomal RNA is filed under the name uncultured bacterium. RNAcentral's name for it is "partial 16S ribosomal RNA". It matches the Rfam family "Bacterial small subunit ribosomal RNA", at positions 99 to 334 of the family's 1533-position model. The record is from RNAcentral.
CGGACGGGUGAGUAAUGUAUAGGAACUUGCCUAGUGUGGGGGACAACGUGUGGAAACGCACGCUAAUACCGCAUACGCUCUACGGAGGAAAGCGGGGGAUCUUCGGACCUCGUGCUACUAGAUGGGCCUAUAUUGGAUUAGCUAGUUGGUAGGGUAAAGGCCUACCAAGGCGACGAUCCAUAGCUGGUUUGAGAGAAUGAUCAGCCACACUGGGACUGAGACGCGGCCCAG